UACAGAGACUGCAAGCGUUAUUCGGAUUCACUGGGCGUAAAGGGUGCGUAGGCGGUGGCGUAAGUCAGUUGUGAAAUUCCCCGGCUUAACCGGCGGGACUGCGAUUGAUACUGCGUUACUUGAAUCAGGUUGAGGUAGGCGGAAUGUGACAUGUAGCGGUGAAAUGCUUAGAUAUGUCAUAGAACACCGAUUGCGAAGGCAGCUUGCUGGACCUGUAUUGACGCUGAGGCACGAAAGCGUGGGGAGCAAACAGG
RNAcentral lists this ribosomal RNA (254 nucleotides) under uncultured bacterium. RNAcentral's name for it is "partial 16S ribosomal RNA". It matches the Rfam family "Bacterial small subunit ribosomal RNA", at positions 524 to 776 of the family's 1533-position model. The record is from RNAcentral.